UUAGUGAGGCCUCCUGACUGGCGCCGAUACUCUGGCAACAGAGCGCCGGAUGCCGGAAAGUUGGUCAAACUUGAUCAUUUAGAGGAAGUAAAAGUCGUAACAAGGUUUCCGUAGGUGAACCUGCGGAAGGAUCAUUACCGAUAAAAAUGUCCAAGAAAACAACUCCGUUGUUUGCCCUGUGAACCGUACCUAACCAUUUAGGGGUCGGCGUAGCCGUUAAAUGGCGAUCGGACGCGGCGUGCAGCAGCGCGUGGCGGCCGCCUCGCCAGCCCCGCCGGUGUUCCUCUUUUUUACAACGUACGCGUUUGUCGUCUGAUAUUGCGACCCCGACCGGGGCCGGAUAAGCACAAAAAGCGAGAGACAACUUUUGACGGUGGAUCUCUUGGCUCACGCAUCGAUGAAGAACGCAGCCAGCUGCGAUAAGUAGUGUGAAUUGCAGAAUUCAGUGAAUCAUCGAAUCUUUGAACGCAAAUGGCGCUCUUGGGUUCUCCCAGGAGCAUGUCUGUCUGAGUGUCGGAUAUCAUCCAUCGCGGGAGCGGGCGCCUUGCCCGCACCUGCGGCGUUGAGGCGUCACGGCCUCCGAGUCGGCCGUGUCCCUUGAAAGGCAGAGAGACUCGCUGCGGUCCGCGGGUACGUUCCCGCGCAGCAGCGGAGGCCAAAAGUAUUCACAGUCCUCCGCGCGCUGCCGGGUCCCCGGCGCGCGAGUCGCCCAGGCGAAAGUGCGUGUCCGCACCACCAUCUCUUGACCUCAGAUCAGGCAAG
RNAcentral lists this small RNA (762 nucleotides) under Lobophyllia cf. corymbosa MA434. RNAcentral's name for it is "eukaryotic LSU rRNA". The stretch from base 363 to 516 matches the Rfam family "5.8S ribosomal RNA". The record is from RNAcentral. Lineage: Eukaryota; Metazoa; Cnidaria; Anthozoa; Scleractinia; Lobophylliidae.